RNAcentral lists this ribosomal RNA (254 nucleotides) under uncultured bacterium. Its description in RNAcentral is "partial 16S ribosomal RNA". It matches the Rfam family "Bacterial small subunit ribosomal RNA", at positions 524 to 777 of the family's 1533-position model. The record is from RNAcentral.
UACAGAGGUCUCAAGCGUUGUUCGGAUUCAUUGGGCGUAAAGGGUGUGUAGGUGGCGCCGUAAGUCAGGUGUGAAAUCUCGGGGCUUAACUCCGAAACUGCAUUUGAUACUGCGGUGCUUGAGGACUGGAGAGGAGACUGGAAUUUAUGGUGUAGCAGUGAAAUGCGUAGAUAUCAUAAGGAAGACCAGUGGCGAAGGCGGGUCUCUGGACAGUUCCUGACACUGAGACACGAAGGCCAGGGGAGCAAAACGGG